Molecule: ribosomal RNA, 856 nt
Filed under: Euterpnosia chibensis
Lineage: Eukaryota; Metazoa; Arthropoda; Insecta; Hemiptera; Cicadidae
Also listed under: 4 other names
Description: SSU rRNA
Rfam family: Eukaryotic small subunit ribosomal RNA
Source: RNAcentral
GCCAUGCAAGUCUCAGUACAUGCCGCACUAAGGUGAAACCGCAAAAGGCUCAUUAAAUCAGUUAUGGUUCCUUGGAUCUUAAACAGUUACUUGGAUAACUGUGGUAAUUCUAGAGCUAAUACAUGCAAACAAGUCCCGACCAGAGAUGGGAGGGACGCUUUUAUUAGAUCAAAACCGAUCGGCGUCCGGCUCCGGCCGGCGCCGUCUCUUUUGGUGACUCUGGAUAACUUUUAGCCGAUCGCACGGUCACAGUACCGGCGACGCAUCUUUCAAAUGUCUGACUUAUCAACUGUCGAUGGUAGGCUCUGCGCCUACCAUGGUUGUAACGGGUAACGGGGAAUCAGGGUUCGAUUCCGGAGAGGGAGCCUGAGAAACGGCUACCACAUCCAAGGAAGGCAGCAGGCGCGCAAAUUACCCACUCCCGGCACGGGGAGGUAGUGACGAAAAAUAACGAUACGGGACUCAUCCGAGGCCCCGUAAUCGGAAUGAGUACACUUUAAAUACUUUAACGAGUACCAAUUGGAGGGCAAGUCUGGUGCCAGCAGCCGCGGUAAUUCCAGCUCCAAUAGCGUAUAUUAAAGUUGUUGCGGUUAAAAAGCUCGUAGUUGGAUCUGUGUGCCACGCUGUCGGUUCACCGCCUGUCGGUGUCAACUGGCACGUCUGUGGGACGUCCUGCCGGUGGCGGCACGGGCUGCCGGCGUCGCGUAGGGGCUCGCCCCCGAAGCGCGCCGGCGUGUCCCGGUCCGCCGGUCCAAUCCCGCCGCGGUGCUCUUCACUGAGUGUCGAGGCGGGCCGGCACGUUUACUUUGAACAAAUUAGAGUGCUCAAAUCAGGUCGUAUUCAGGCCUGAAUACUG